UGGGGAAUCUUCCGCAAUGGACGAAAGUCUGACGGAGCAACGCCGCGUGAACGAAGAAGGUCUUCGGAUUGUAAAGUUCUGUGAUUCGGGACGAAAGGGUAAAUAGUGAAUAACUAUAGACAUUGACGGUACCGAAAAAGCAAGCCACGGCUAACUACGUGCCAGCAGCCGCGGUAAUACGUAGGUGGCAAGCGUUGUCCGGAAUUAUUGGGCGUAAAGCGCGCGCAGGCGGUUUCUUAAGUCCAUCUUAAAAGCGUGGGGCUCAACCCCAUGAGGGGAUGGAAACUGGGAAGCUGGAGUAUCGGAGAGGAAAGUGGAAUUCCUAGUGUAGCGGUGAAAUGCGUAGAGAUUAGGAAGAACACCGGUGGCGAAGGCGACUUUCUAGACGAAAACUGACGCUGAGGCGCGAAAGCGUGGGGAGCAAACAGGAUUAGAUACCCUGGUAGUCCACGCCGUAAACGAUGGAUACUAGGUGUAGGAGGUAUCGACCCCUCCUGUGCCGGAGUUAACGCAAUAAGUAUCCCGCCUGGGAAGUACGAUCGCAAGAUUA
This 550-nucleotide ribosomal RNA is filed under the name uncultured bacterium. Its description in RNAcentral is "bacterial SSU rRNA". It matches the Rfam family "Bacterial small subunit ribosomal RNA", at positions 355 to 896 of the family's 1533-position model. The record is from RNAcentral.